UCGAGGAUCAUUCGCAAUGGGCGCAAGCCUGACGAUGCGACGCUGCGUGGAGGAUGAAGGCCUUCGGGUUGUAAACUCCUGUCAUUCGGGAACAAUAAAACAGCCAUUAACACUGGUUGUAAUCGAUAGUACCGGAAGAGGAAGCCACGGCUAACUCUGUGCCAGCAGCCGCGGUAAUACAGAGGUGGCGAGCGUUGUUCGGAUUUACUGGGCGUAAAGGGUGCGUAGGUGGUUUCAUGUGUCGGGCGUUAAAGCCCACUGCUCAACGGUGGAAGGCCGUCCGAAACUAUGAGACUAGAGUGCAGGAGAGGAGAGCGGAAUUCUUGGUGUAGCGGUGGAAUGCGUUGAUAUCAAGAAGAACACCAGUGGCGUAGGCGGCUCUCUGGAAUGUUACUGACACUGAGGCACGAAAGUUGGGGGAGCAAACAGG
RNAcentral lists this ribosomal RNA (430 nucleotides) under uncultured bacterium. RNAcentral describes it as "bacterial SSU rRNA". It matches the Rfam family "Bacterial small subunit ribosomal RNA", at positions 355 to 776 of the family's 1533-position model. The record is from RNAcentral.